AGCAGUAGCCGCGGUAAUACGUAGGUGGCAAGUGUUGUCCGGAAUUAUUGGGCGUAAAGGGCUCGCAGGCGGUUUCUUAAGUCUGAUGUGAAAGCCCCCGGCUCAACCGGGGAGGGUCAUUGGAAACUGGGAAACUUGAGUGCAGAAGAGGAGAGUGGAAUUCCACGUGUAGCGGUGAAAUGCGUAGAGAUGUGGAGGAACACCAGUGGCGAAGGCGACUCUCUGGUCUGCAACUGACGCUGAGGAGCGAAAGCGUGGGGAGCGAACAGGAUUAGAUACCCGCGUAGUCCCUGUCUCUUAUAC
This 303-nucleotide ribosomal RNA is filed under the name uncultured bacterium. Its description in RNAcentral is "partial 16S ribosomal RNA". It matches the Rfam family "Bacterial small subunit ribosomal RNA", at positions 507 to 807 of the family's 1533-position model. The record is from RNAcentral.